Molecule: ribosomal RNA, 253 nt
Filed under: uncultured bacterium
Lineage: Bacteria
Description: partial 16S ribosomal RNA
Rfam family: Bacterial small subunit ribosomal RNA
Source: RNAcentral
UACAGAGGGGGCAAGCGUUGUUCGGAGUUACUGGGCGUAAAGGGCGCGUAGGCGGCCUUCUAAGUCGAACGUGAAAUCCCCGGGCUCAACCCGGGAACUGCGUCCGAUACUGGAAGGCUUGAAUCCGGGAGAGGGAUGCGGAAUUCCAGGUGUAGCGGUGAAAUGCGUAGAUAUCUGGAGGAACACCGGUGGCGAAGGCGGCAUCCUGGACCGGCAUUGACGCUGAGGCGCGAAAGCUAGGGGAGCAAACGGG